This is a non-coding RNA of Vicia faba (fava bean), 252 nucleotides long. The record is from the annotation of a GenBank genome assembly. Lineage: Eukaryota; Viridiplantae; Streptophyta; Magnoliopsida; Fabales; Fabaceae.
AUGUUCAUCUUCUUUUCCAAAGCCCUUCUUAGACUAUCUUGCAGUUUCCUUUCCAGGCCUAUGAUACCUCCUUUUAAUUCUCAUUCUCCAUGCACUCACCAUUAUUACCAUCUCAUAAAACAAGGAAGAAAAAGUAAGGUGGUUAGCAAACAAAAUUUAAUUAUAAACAAGAUAGUUUUAAAGAAAUUUUACAAUUUCAUCAUUAGGGCUUUCUUGAAGGAAUCAACUUGUGGUUUAAGGAAUUAUCUUUAA